CUCAGUACGGCGAGUGAAGCGGCAAAAGCUCAAAUUUGAAAUCUAGCACUUUCAGUGUUCGAGUUGUAAUUUGAAGAAAGUCUCCUUGAAUAGUCCUUUAUCUAUGUUCCUUGGAACAGGACGUCAUAGAGGGUGAGAACCCCGUAUGAUUUUGGAUCCUAUUCUCUGUGGGAGUCUUUCGAAGAGUCGAGUUGUUUGGGAAUGCAGCUCUAAGUGGGUGGUAAAUUCCAUCUAAAGCUAAAUAUUGGCGAGAGACCGAUAGCGAACAAGUACAGUGAUGGAAAGAUGAAAAGAACUCUGAAGAGAGAGUGAAAAAGUACGUGAAAUUGCUGAAAGGGAAGGGCUUGAGGUCAGACUUGGUGUUUAAUGAUUAUCUUCUUUUCUUAAGUUGUGCACUCGUUUUUCACUGGGCCAAUAUCAGUUUUUGUAGUAGAGCACCUCUUGAAAUGUGAUUUCCUUCGGGGAGUGUUAUAGUCUUGAGACGAUCUACUACGGGGACUGAGGACUGCGCGUUAUGCUAGGAUAUUGGCGUAAUGACCUUAAGCCGCCCGUCUUGACCC
RNAcentral lists this ribosomal RNA (560 nucleotides) under Saccharomycopsis malanga. Its description in RNAcentral is "partial large subunit ribosomal RNA". It matches the Rfam family "Eukaryotic large subunit ribosomal RNA", at positions 79 to 660 of the family's 3401-position model. The record is from RNAcentral. Lineage: Eukaryota; Fungi; Ascomycota; Saccharomycetes; Ascoideales; Saccharomycopsidaceae.